This 1226-nucleotide long non-coding RNA is filed under the name Anser brachyrhynchus (Pink-footed goose). RNAcentral's name for it is "lncRNA (ENSABRG00000000596.1)". Lineage: Eukaryota; Metazoa; Chordata; Aves; Anseriformes; Anatidae. The record is from RNAcentral.
AUGGGGGAACAAAUAACAUCGGGUUUGCAAAAGCACAGGGAAAAAGGUAUGUUAGUUCUUGCUGAGGCUGCAGACAACGUGGGGGUACCUGAACUCGUCCUGUGUGUAACGUUGUACUGCUCAGCUUGGAAGUCAGGGGAGGAGAAGCAACGUGUAUCUGCAAAACAGAAGUGCUGUGCUGCAAAACAGGUGUUUAUUUCUCUCUUUCCCAUUCCCAGGGAUUUGCUCCAAGAGAACAAUUUCUGUCUGGUCAGAAGCAGGUACAAAAAUUAGUGGUGAAUGUGCAGGGUGAGCUGACUCAUCUUCAAAGCAAACCGCCUUAGAAAUGACAGCAGAAAGCGAAGGUGGAAGCUGCGUCCAGGCUCUGUGAUGCUACACUGGCAUGCGGCAGGAGCAGCAACCCGCUCUGCAGGCACACAGCAGAGCCCUGAGGCUGUGACAAGCGAGAGGGCUGCGCCAGUGGUGGCUCCAGGUCUGCACAUGGAAAGCACCCGCUCCUGUUACCUGCCCUUCUGCAGGGCUCAGCCCGCAAGUACGGAGCCAGCCACCUAGAGGUUCCUGAAAUUAACUCUCAAGAAGGUCUGACUUCUAAUUUUCUGUCGUAAACAGCCACAAGGCAUAGCUCGCACAUCAGCUGAGCAUAUAUUACUGAAAUAAUUGAUUUUUAAAUUAAAGCUCUGAAGAAGAGUGAGGAAAGUACCGGUUUUUCCAAACUGAAGCUCUAUGGGCAGCAGUUUGAAUCAAUACGCUAGGAAGUUUCUAUUUUUCUUCAUAAUGUUCAGACUGCUGUUUUGCCUGAUUCUGAAGCAGCAGAUGAUGCGCCCUCUUGUAGAUGCCAUGUAUAUUAUGAACCACGCUUCGUACUUUCCUCCCCUCUUUGAGGUACAUGGGGAGGAGCACAGACUUGAUACGCAGAGAUGUAACUGAUGCCACGAUCACCUUGUGAGACCUGCCUGUGUCCUGCUGAGCUCUGACUUUCUCACAGACUUUGUUAUUCUUCAUAUGGUUAUAUCAAAUGAGUUGACAUAACAAAAAGGGAUUUAAGGCCAAGAAAUGAAAUUGCUCAGUCUGCCGAACCCUUGCUUUAAUUCCUCCUCACCCACCCACUGCUUUUGUGCCUUAUUUUCUCAUUUUGACAAACGGGCUGAGGUUCUAGCUCAGUCUGGGGGCUGGGGUGGUGGAGCUGAGCACUCCUUUUAAAAAAAAUAAAACUCAGAAAAAUCUCA